Molecule: long non-coding RNA, 348 nt
Organism: Thalassophryne amazonica
Lineage: Eukaryota; Metazoa; Chordata; Actinopteri; Batrachoidiformes; Batrachoididae
Exons: 3
Source: RefSeq, a predicted model, not a curated record
AUCUAAUAAGUCCAAGAAGGAGAAAUAUUUGUUGACUUUGGCAGGAGGAAAGCACACACCUACCAGUCAAUAUAGACAAUGUGGGCACUGAGGUGGUCCCCACGUACAAGUUCCUCGGAGUCCACAUUGACAAUAGACUGGACUGGUCGGUGCAGGUAAAUGCAGCACAUAAAAAAGGACAAAACAGACUGUUCUUCCUCAGAAGACUGAAAUCCUUUGAUGUUGGUCAUGAUAUGCUUUUCAUUUUUUAUCAAUCUGUUGUGGUCAGCGCUGUAUUGUUUGCUGAUGUGUGUUGGGGUAACAGCAUGUCUGUCAGGGACAGUAACAGACUGGACAAAUUUGUCUGGA